UACAGAGGUCUCAAGCGUUGUUCGGAUUCAUUGGGCGUAAAGGGUGCGUAGGUGGCGCCGUAAGUGGGGUGUGAAAUCUCGGGGCUUAACUCCGAAACUGCAUUCCAUACUGCGGUGCUUGAGGACUGGAGAGGAGACUGGAAUUCAUGGUGUAGCAGUGAAAUGCGUAGAGAUCAUGAGGAAGACCAGUGGCGAAGGCGGGUCUCUGGACAGUUCCUGACACUGAGGCACGAAGGCCAGGGGAGCAAACGGG
This 253-nucleotide ribosomal RNA is filed under the name uncultured bacterium. RNAcentral describes it as "partial 16S ribosomal RNA". It matches the Rfam family "Bacterial small subunit ribosomal RNA", at positions 524 to 776 of the family's 1533-position model. The record is from RNAcentral.